AAUUCGAUUGAGUUUGAUCCUGGCUCAGAACGAACGCUGGCGGCGUGGAUAAGACAUGCAAGUCGAGCGCUGAUUCAAGGGUAGCAAUAUUCUUGGGUCGGAGCGGCGCAAGGGUGCGUAACACGUGGGUAAUUUGCCAUGAAGUCUGGAAUAACUUGCUGAAAGGCGAGCUAAUGCCGGAUGUGAUUUUUGGGGAGCAUUCUCCGAAACUCAAAGUUGGGGACCGUAAGGCCUGACGCUUCUUGAUAAGCCCGCGGCCUAUCAGCUAGUUGGUGAGGUAAUGGCUCACCAAGGCUAAGACGGGUAGCUGGUCUGAGAGGACGACCAGCCACACUGGAACUGAGACACGGUCCAGACACCUACGGGUGGCAGCAGUCGAGAAUUUUUCACAAUGGGCGAAAGCCUGAUGGAGCGACGCCGCGUGGGGGAUGAAUGGCUUCGGCCCGUAAACCCCUGUCAUUUGCGAACAAACCUUUUCAUUUAACACCUGAAAAGCUGAUUGUAGCGGAAGAGGAAGGGACGGCUAACUCUGUGCCAGCAGCCGCGGUAAUACAGAGGUCCCAAGCGUUGUUCGGAUUCACUGGGCGU
This 588-nucleotide ribosomal RNA is filed under the name uncultured bacterium. RNAcentral's name for it is "bacterial SSU rRNA". It matches the Rfam family "Bacterial small subunit ribosomal RNA", at positions 1 to 561 of the family's 1533-position model. The record is from RNAcentral.